AUAGGCUAAAUUAAUCAUAUUAAUUUCUAACGAAGCCAGUAAUGGAUUUUUAUUUUUGAUUUGAUUGCAUUUAAACCUAAAUUAUAUAUUAUCUACAUCAUGAAUACGUAUUAUUUUUGAAAAAAAAAACAUAAUUUUUCUAAUAUGUAAUGCGACACAUUCCUUCCUACCAAUUUAUUAGAUAUUAUGCAUAUUAUGAAUCAUUAAAAAUAAAUACCUGCCUACUUAGUAACAGGUGGUGAUAUCAGUCUCGAAAUAACUAUACCUAGUUGUCAUUCCAAAAACGGGAGCUGCGCAAAAAAAUAGAAAAAAAAAAAAACUGCAUAAAGUGCAGUGAAUACCUACUACCUAUCAAUAAAUCAAGAAAUACCUACAAUGCACUGAAUAAAACCCAAGACACCCAUUACACAAAUUAUCCCUACAAAACAACAAGUGGAAUGGGAGGGAAUCAAGUUUUAUCAAUUGAAAAAAAAAAAAAAAAACAAUCAGAUAAUCUACGUGCCAUUUUACAUGAAGGAAAAAUAAAAAUAUGCAAACUAGUUUUUUUUUUAAUCUGUUAUUGAAAAAUGGAUUCCCUUUUAUCUAGGAAGAUAGGAAAGUGGUUGCGGAGAAAAAUAAAAAUAUCAAACUCAAACUCACUGAUAAGCUCGGAAGUCAAAACAUGUAGGAUGACAUGAGUGGCCAACAACUAUGACCGAACGAACGAAAACCAACCUACAUACUCAACUCAUGUAGAUAAAUAGUUUUUUUUUUUUUUUAUUUACUUUAUGUAGAUAAAAGAAAAAUAUGAAUGCCUUUCUUGCAUAGUACACAAUUAAAAUCAAUUACAGUAGUUUCAUUGCUGUUUUUAUUCGAACUAGGGUCGAGUGAGUAAGUUGAUGGAAACAAAAUUAAUUAUAUAAUCAAAAAACUUAAGUAAUAUUAAUUAUUUUUUUAGAUUUUGAUCAAAAAAUAAUUUCGAAAAACAAACAAAACCUAUUUUUGUUCCCUUUGAUAGGUGAAUUAGAAGAAGUAGAUUGUUGAUAAAAGAAUGACGGA
Molecule: long non-coding RNA, 1038 nt
Organism: Episyrphus balteatus (marmalade hoverfly)
Lineage: Eukaryota; Metazoa; Arthropoda; Insecta; Diptera; Syrphidae
Exons: 3
Source: RefSeq, a predicted model, not a curated record